Non-coding RNA from Macaca mulatta (Rhesus monkey), 1296 nucleotides. NCBI's taxonomy places the organism in Eukaryota, Metazoa, Chordata, Mammalia, Primates, Cercopithecidae. The record is from RefSeq and is a predicted model, not a curated record.
CUAAUUUUUGUAUUUUUAGUAGAGACGGGGUUUCACCACGUUGGACAGGCUGGUCUCCAUCUCCUGACCUCAGGGGAUCCACCUGCCUCGGCCUCCCAAAGUGCUGGGAUGACAGGUGCGAGCCCCCGCGCCCGCCCGUGAGAAGCUUUAAGUCAGUGCAGUGGCACGUGGAUGGUGCAGGGCCGCAGGCUUCAGGUUCCUUUUGAUUCUGCAGGGACCGCCCCGCCAUUCGGGGUCAGAAAUACCUGUGUGUCAGGGGCAGGUGUGAGCCGUGUCCGUGUGCGUCCCGCGGUGGCUCACACCUGGAAUCCCACUGCCUUGGGAGACCGAGUGGGGAUGGGAGUUCAAGACCAGCCUCGGCAACAUACUGAUACCCCCAUCUCUUAAAAAAAAAAAAGAGCUGGACAUGGGUCCUGUAGUACCAGCUACUCGGGAGGCUGAGGUGGGAGGAUGGCUGCCCGUCUCGGCCUCCCGAGUAGCUGGGGUGACAGGUGCCGCCACCAUGUCCCUCUGAUUGUAAUUCUUCCCAGACACGAGGUUUCUCCAUGUGGCCCAGGCUGGGCUCAGACUCCUGAGCUCAGGGGAUCCCCCCACAUCGGCUUCCCGAGGCGCUGGGGGUCCAGGUGUGCAGACGGUUCUUCGUCUACACGCGUCCCUGGAUUUCCUGCCACGGGGAUACAAAUAGACGCCCGCGGUGUGGGGACCUGGCUCCGCACCUGCACCUGCGUGUUUCCUGCACGGGCCCCAGAACCCUGGGACGGGAUCCCUGUGGUGUGACGAAGUCAGUGGCCCCUCGGGCAGGGACAGCCGAUGCCCUCCACCUCCCCCAUCGCUUUUGUGCCUCCGCCCCCUCCCCACGUAGGCCCGGCGUCCCAUAGGCACCACAGCCUGGGGAGUCGGGGGCACCGCGGAGCCCUAAGCAUCAGGGUAAGCCGUGGUCUUAAGAAGUCAGUGUGUCUCACAGUCCCAAAAGGUUGGGGUACCCCCGGCCCUCAUGUUCAGAGCACUCUACGGUCCCACAGGGUUGGGGUGCCCCAUGGCCCUCAUGUUCAGGGUACCCUACGGUAUUAAAGUUGGGGUACCCCACAGCCAUCAUGUUCAGGGCACCCCACAGCCCUAAUGUCCAGGGCACCCCACAGUCCUGAAGGGUCAGGGCACCCCCGGAUGAGGGGAGGUCAGGAGGGUCAGUGCCCGGGUGGACGUCCUGUCACCCCACCCUGUGAGGCACGGCCCGUGUCCCUGACUCCGACGUUGGGGGAGGUGAGCACGGAGCAGGUUCCCGUGGCACAUUAUUUA